Small nuclear RNA from Arvicola amphibius (Eurasian water vole), 107 nucleotides. Lineage: Eukaryota; Metazoa; Chordata; Mammalia; Rodentia; Cricetidae. The record is from RefSeq and is a predicted model, not a curated record.
GUGCUCACUUCAGCAGCACAUAUGCUAAAGUUACAGUAACACAGAGAACAUUAGCAUGGCCUCUGAGCAAGAAAAAUAUUCAAAUUCAUGAAGUAUUCCAUAAAAAU